CCUACGGUAGGCAGCAGUGAGGAAUAUUGGUCAAUGGCCGUAAGGCUGAACCAGCCAAGUAGCGUGAGGGAAGACUGCCCUAUGGGUUGUAAACCUCUUUUAUGCGGGGAUAAAGGUGUCCACGUGUGGCGUUUUGCGAGUACCUGAAGAAAAAGCAUCGGCUAACUCCGUGCCAGCAGCCGCGGUAAUACGGAGGAUGCGAGCGUUAUCCGGAUUUAUUGGGUUUAAAGGGUGCGCAGGCGGAAUGUCAAGUCAGCGGUAAAAUUUCGGGGCUCAACCCGGUCGUGCCGUUGAAACUGGCGUUCUUGAGUGAGCGAGAAGUAUGCGGAAUGCGUGGUGUAGCGGUGAAAUGCAUAGAUAUCACGCAGAACUCCGAUUGCGAAGGCAGCAUACCGGCGCUCAACUGACGCUCAUGCACGAAAGCGUGGGUAUCGAACAGGAUUAGAUACCCGUGUAGUC
RNAcentral lists this ribosomal RNA (459 nucleotides) under uncultured bacterium. RNAcentral's name for it is "partial 16S ribosomal RNA". It matches the Rfam family "Bacterial small subunit ribosomal RNA", at positions 338 to 795 of the family's 1533-position model. The record is from RNAcentral.